Long non-coding RNA from Chinchilla lanigera (long-tailed chinchilla), 2621 nucleotides. RefSeq lists it as uncharacterized. The record is from RefSeq and is a predicted model, not a curated record. Lineage: Eukaryota; Metazoa; Chordata; Mammalia; Rodentia; Chinchillidae. The transcript has 3 exons.
CCUGGGUACGGUCCUGAGGACCUUAAAAAUAGUAAUAGGUAUUUAGGGUUAAAGUAAAAUCGUUAUGUGAUAAAUGACAAAUAUUUUUAGAGGAAAUGCCUAGCCAUAAAUAACAGAAAUAAAAUUACAAAAUUCAGGUACAUCUGAGAAAGUAGAGGCGUCUGGGGUUUUGCCAAGCUGCCAGGGCACCCCCAGGAAUCCUCUGCGUUUGCUGAGCUGCGCCCCCUCCUGGCCCGGGAGGUCUGUGUGGUUUCCGUUUGCAAGGGCUGCGCAGACAGGAACCCGCAAGGCUGGUCCCGAACCACAGCGCGUGCCCCCGCCUCCCGUUUCAGAGGAAGUAGGCUGGAAGGUCGGGACCAAGGGCAGCCUCCCUCCUCCUGCUCCCUCCUCUGGCACAGAGCUGAGUCACUCAAGCGCCGGGCAUUCACCCCAAAGACAGCCGAGGUGGUGGGGCUCUGAGGUUUCCGGUGCUGGCAGAGGACAAACGUCAUCUCACUCACCCCCACAUACCUUAGAGGAAGGAGCCACAUCAUCACACUUCGCCAUGUGACCCUGCACAUGAUCUGCCUGUGACUCACUGCUGCGGCACUGACCUUGAUCGUCUGGCUGAGCAGGUGAAUUGCUUGGAAAUCUGCUCCAGAGAUUCACCCAAUUUUUAAAGAAUCACUGAAGCUCUAAGUUCUCACUGUCCUGGUUGCAGACUCCACUGGGCAAGUGGGACCCGCCAGAGUUCCAAGCCUGGGUGGCGUUUGCAUUGCACAAGAGAAGCUGCUUUGUCACGGGUUUCGCCUUCUCACGGCGCAGAGGAGGCUCUCUGCGGUGAAGGGACAAGCGCCAGGUCACACGGUGCGCCUGCAGCUGUCGGGCUUGAACCACCUGCUCCCCCUCGCGCCCCGCCCCGCCCCGCCAGCCGCAUGCUGUACAGCCUGAAGCAAGCCCCCACACAGGCAGGGAGGAAAUGCCACCAGCCUGGACCUCCUCUUGCUCCAUGGGCCGCCAUCGACCCUGGAGACACAGAUUUCCGAGAGUCCCCUGGCUGCUCCGGAAUCUCCGGAGAGAAAAACUAAGAGGUCCGGAGAGGCUGCAGAAUACUCGAUCUGAAGGGCGCCCCUGGAUGCCACCCGCUCCCCUCGGCUUUCUCCAGUGGCUCGGCGGGCGCCCACGCAGGAGGAAGCCCGUGUUACCCUCGGCACCUGACCAGCUCCUGAGGGGGAAUCUGGGGUCCUGGAUGGCGGCUUCUGACCUCCCCGAUCUCCCUGCUCCUCAGACCAGGGGAACUCGGGUUCCCAGGCUCCACAGAGGUGCUAGAUCUCCCUGGGAGAAGCCUUUCUGGCUCUCUGGGCUGGGUAGUCUUCCUCUGUAAAGUGGGGGUAAGGGCUGUCUCCUCCAGGAGGCUCAGGCUCCUGUGUCCAGCGUCCCGAUGGUGGGGUCUCAGCUGGUCACCGCCCCUUGCCCUCCCCCUGCAGCAGUGGCGCCCCCUGCUGGCAGGGUGCCUCUUGGCACGCUCUGCGGUGCGGCCUUUGCUCUCUGCCUCCCCCUGCAGGCCAUCUUGCCAAGGGCGGCUUAGAGAAAAGCCACCAAGAGGGAGGUCAGGUUCAGGGCUCUACUCUCCAGCCCUCUAGGAUGGGGCAGAACCGGGCCUUCAGCCCCAUUGCCAACCUCAAUUCCAAACGCAACUCCUGCCACUAAGAGAGCUGCAGCAGUCUUAUGGAAACUUUCAAAAUCUACCCCAACGCUUUGUCCUUUGUAAAAUGUGAAAUGCCAAAAAAUUUUUUAAAGCUAGACCUGAAUUGGUGGGGGAGGGGCGUAAAAUCCUUGGGUAAAAUAACGGUGCAUUUUUUUUUCUUUUUGUCUUUUUGAGACAGGGUCUCGCAUUGCAGUUCAGGCUGGCCUUGAGCUCACUUUGUAGCCCAGGCUGGUAAGGUGCACUUUUGAAUGGCCUGGCUCAGUAAAUCACCACAAAGAAAACACGCUCCCGAAAUUCCCAGGGCAGAGCAGAAAGCCCCACGGUGUCUGCCCCUAGUCUCUCUGCCUUUCCUCUGCCCUGCAUAGAGGUGCAGCUCCUAUCUUCUCACGUUCUCUGCUCUCCAAAAGUCAUUCAUGGGGGCCCCAUAUAGAGUCCUGGAAUGCAAAACAAAAACAAAAAAGCAAGUAAGUAGAGUCCUGGCAGCAUUAUCCAAACCCCUUCUCCGGCUUGGCCCUGCCCCUCCCCGCUGGCCCUGCGCCUGUCUCUCUAACCCCGCAAGAAACUCCGCAGGCUGCCCCCAUCCUCUGCCUCUCCCAGGCUCUCCUUGUCGGCUCUCAUGCCCACAAGAGAAAUCCUUCUCUCCCCGUUCUGGAGACCGGAAGCUCUGAGCCAGGGUAUGGCAGGCCCUGCCCUCCCUGAGGGCUCGGGGGAGAAUCCUUCCCUUCCUGCUCCUGGCUUCUGCUGGCUGCCCGCCAACCUUGCACUCGCGGGCUGGUGGCCGCAUCACUGCAGCCUUUGCCUGCAGCAUCACGGUCUUCUCCCUGUGUGUGUUGUCAAAUGUUGCCUUUCCUCUGUGGGUCUGUUUUCUGUUCUUAUCAGGACCCCUGUCAGUGGAGUAGGGGCUUAAUCCUACAUUUAAGUUGCCUUCAUCCUA